GACGAACGCUGGCGGCGUGCUUAACACAUGCAAGUCGAACGGAAAGGCCUCUUUCGGGGGGUACUCGAGUGGCGAACGGGUGAGUAACACGUGAGUAACCUGCCCUUGACUUUGGGAUAACUUCAGGAAACUGGGGCUAAUACCGGAUAGGAGCUCCUGCUGCAUGGUGGGGGUUGGAAAGUUUCGGCGGUUGGGGAUGAACUCGCGGCUUAUCAGCUUGUUGGUGGGGUAGUGGCUUACCAAGGCUUUGACGGGUAGCCGGCCUGAGAGGGUGACCGGCCACAUUGGGACUGAGAUACGGCCCAGACUCCUACGGGAGGCAGCAGUGGGGAAUAUUGCACAAUGGGUGGAAGCCGGAUGCAGCAACGCCGUGUGUGGGAUGACGGCCUUCGGGUUGUAAACCGCUUUCGCUCAUGACGAAGCUUUGUGUGACGGUAGUGGGUAAAGAAGCACCGGCUAACUACGUG
RNAcentral lists this ribosomal RNA (467 nucleotides) under uncultured bacterium. RNAcentral's name for it is "partial 16S ribosomal RNA". It matches the Rfam family "Bacterial small subunit ribosomal RNA", at positions 28 to 507 of the family's 1533-position model. The record is from RNAcentral.